UCCACAUGCGGAGAGGAGCAGGCUGCGGCCCUGGCCCCCGGAAAGAGUCGGACUAGGGUACUGCCCCUAAAAGCCAACUGACUGGCGGUAGAGUGCACAGGUUUCAGGGUUCCACUCCUCUGACCGCUGCCCGGCCUUUCACAUGAGGAACGUGGAGAGGCUGGGAAUUCAACUGACACUGGGAUCCUGUGACCCUCACAAUUGAAUGUUGCGUUGGAUUUUCAGCACUGUCAGCCCUGCAGUACAGGAAGCAAGAGAGGUUUUAGGGCUGUCAUGGAAGUUCUCUGGUUGUCAUACUGUGACUUGAGCUGAGAGGAAGAUUAGCCCUGAGCUAACUACUGCCGAUCCUCCUCUUUUU
Long non-coding RNA from Equus quagga, 358 nucleotides. RefSeq lists it as uncharacterized. Lineage: Eukaryota; Metazoa; Chordata; Mammalia; Perissodactyla; Equidae. The transcript is spliced from 3 exons. The record is from RefSeq and is a predicted model, not a curated record.